This 898-nucleotide ribosomal RNA is filed under the name Listeria monocytogenes. RNAcentral's name for it is "bacterial SSU rRNA". It matches the Rfam family "Bacterial small subunit ribosomal RNA", at positions 34 to 873 of the family's 1533-position model. The record is from RNAcentral. Lineage: Bacteria; Bacillati; Bacillota; Bacilli; Caryophanales; Listeriaceae.
CGAAAUCGACGUGCCUAUACAUGCAAGUCGAACGAACGGAGGAAGAGCUUGCUCUUCCAAAGUUAGUGGCGGACGGGUGAGUAACACGUGGGCAACCUGCCUGUAAGUUGGGGAUAACUCCGGGAAACCGGGGCUAAUACCGAAUGAUAAAGUUUGGCGCAUGCCACGCUUUUGAAAGAUGGUUUCGGCUAUCGCUUACAGAUGGGCCCGCGGUGCAUUAGCUAGUUGGUAGGGUAAUGGCCUACCAAGGCAACGAUGCAUAGCCGACCUGAGAGGGUGAUCGGCCACACUGGGACUGAGACACGGCCCAGACUCCUACGGGAGGCAGCAGUAGGGAAUCUUCCGCAAUGGACGAAAGUCUGACGGAGCAACGCCGCGUGUAUGAAGAAGGUUUUCGGAUCGUAAAGUACUGUUGUUAGAGAAGAACAAGGAUAAGAGUAACUGCUUGUCCCUUGACGGUAUCUAACCAGAAAGCCACGGCUAACUACGUGCCAGCAGCCGCGGUAAUACGUAGGUGGCAAGCGUUGUCCGGAUUUAUUGGGCGUAAAGCGCGCGCAGGCGGUCUUUUAAGUCUGAUGUGAAAGCCCCCGGCUUAACCGGGGAGGGUCAUUGGAAACUGGAAGACUGGAGUGCAGAAGAGGAGAGUGGAAUUCCACGUGUAGCGGUGAAAUGCGUAGAUAUGUGGAGGAACACCAGUGGCGAACGCGACUCUCUGGUCUGUAACUGACGCUGAGCGCGAAAGCGUGGGGAGCAAACAGAUUAGAUACCCUGGUAGUCCACGCCGUAAACGAUGAGUGCUAGUGUAGGGGUUUCCGCCCCUUAUGCUGCAGCUACGCAUAGCACUCCGCCUGGAGUACGACGCAGUGCUUUGUGAAUGUGUUGACUGAUCGCGCGACGA